Molecule: long non-coding RNA, 4211 nt
Organism: Cyprinus carpio (common carp)
Lineage: Eukaryota; Metazoa; Chordata; Actinopteri; Cypriniformes; Cyprinidae
Exons: 5
Source: RefSeq, a predicted model, not a curated record
AAAAUCAAAAAUCCUACAGAUUUGGAACAGUGUGAGGGUGAGUAAAUGAUUACAGAAUAACAUUUUUCAACAAUAUCUCUUCAAACGGAUGCACACAUCAAAUUUAUAUGUCCACUUGUGUCUCUGUGUGUAUGUGUUCAUAAAGAUGGACUGGUACAUUUAUUGCACAUGUACCUAUUAUGCACAUGCAUGAGUGUGUGUGUGCACGCGUGUAUGUGCCCAUUGCGUCUGGUUCCUGCCUCCGACUGACAUGUAAUAAAACAUGCCGCUGUGUUGUUGAUCAAUCUCAGCGGCUCGCCGGCCGCACAGCAAGGGCAUGUACAUGCAAAUGAGAAUAGCUAAAUACCACUGAGGGGGUGGGAGAGAGAAGCAAUCACUUCAUCUGACAAACCACGGGGAAAGGAGGAGGGAUGGGGGAUAUAUAGAGGUAUAUGCAAAGUUGAGGGAAUACAGAGAAGGACGGGUUACUAACGAGCAUAUGCACUUAAUUACACAGGGCCUUAUGGGGACCGUGGAUGCGCACACGGGCCUUUCCCGAGCCACCGGGGUGGGGGGUGGCAGUGUGUUUCGUGGGACACUGAGGCCUUUGUGAGAAUCUGGGAUGAACUCUGCCACACAGGGGCAGCAGAAAGCCCUGAAGCGAAAACCAUCAGGGUCAUGUUACUGUUUGCUUUGGAGCAUGCAAAGGGAGAAAGAAAGUGAGAGAAAAAGUGUACGCUUUUGUUUGCUAGUGUGUGCGCGUCUGAAACCACCCUAGUGACCAUAAGGUCAGCUAAUCUCAAACGCCCGAACAAUCCGAAAUGUACACAAGUGGAAGAAAGAGAAGAAGGUGGCGAGAAGAUUGUGUGAUUGGUUAAGAGAGAAGGGAGAUGAGCAGUCGACAUGAUAAUGAUGUGAGAAUUGAUUAACGCUUUCUUUUACAACUCUGGGAACUAAAGGGAACUUUGCCCCCUGGCUUUCACUUUCCAAACACUGAUUCCUUAUGAGGAGUCAAUCCUGGUGACUCUCUCUCUCUUUGCAUGUCUAAGUGAGUCCAUAGACACAUUAUUAAAAUACAAUAGGAUCAAUCUAUGGGCUUUUGGCCUAAAUAAUCUCUUUUUUAAAGCCUGCAGCCUGUCUGCCCUUAUCUCUUUUCUUCUUUUGCAGAAUCUGUUUAACUUUGGGAUGGAACGUGCAUUGGGCCUGUUUGCGAGUAAAUCUGGAGUUUGGGAGCAGGUGAACUGAGGAGGAAUGCAAUUCAGUCUAAACAUUUUGAGAAUCCACUUUCAUCAAAGAAGCACUGAAAGCAUCACGUUAUGAAUGCUUACAGCCAUCAUAAGCCUCCUCUUCCAUUCUGGUCUCAGCAGUCCACCGCGGACCAUAACUCGUUUUUUUUAAGCUUACUCUCUCAGGUUGUGGCUCAUCUGAGAUGAAAUGCUUAAAAGAGUCGUUUUCCUCUCCUGUUCCAUCAGAAACCCAUAGGAGCUCCAUCUCUUUCAGGUAUUGAUUGCCUCAUGCCUGUCCCCUGCCUACAAGUUACAGGGGAAGAUUUUGAGCACUGCGACAGGAGAAGAAGAACUGAGGGAUGGCUGAAGCUCUGGGAACAAACUCCCCUUCAUGUCCCACAGGACUAAAGACUCAUCAGCUCUUUCUCCAUAUUUUGCUCUGUUCCUCAAUUCUCCUCCACCCUGUUCCCAAUCUCUGUCUUGCGGCCUACCAUCUCCUCGGCUCUGGGAAGCGUCGUCUCGACUGAAGAAGUACAGCUGACUUGUGUGGUUAAUGACACCUCAGCAAGCUAUUGGUUUUCCAGGGCCUCUGUGUUUUUCUCUCUGUCUCGCCUCCAUCUUCUUUUCUCCUCCAUGCCUUGACACGGUUUCUCUCUCUUUCUCUCUCUCUGUCAAGCACAGAUUUAUUCUGCCUGUGAUGCGUGGAGAGGAGAGCAGUGCGAGUGCUCAGGGAUAGGGUCAGUAGGAGGGUGGUGUGUGUACAAUAAGAGAUAAGAUCAUGGCUCCCCGGGGGCUUGUUUGGCCCUGUACCCGAUCCAUCAAACGCAUGCUCCUGGUGCCAAGGUAAAGAAGUGGUUCUUGGAUGCUGCUGAGGAGAGACUCGGGAUGCUUCUUUAUGGUCUCUGUUCCCACCCUCUAGAUCACAGUGAUCAUCUCGGCUUGCCAGAUGUCUUCCUUGAACUCUGUCUUGAGUAAUAAAUCGCUGGGCUGCUGAUGAACUUGGACAUGGAGAGAGGAUGGUGAGUGAGAGGAUUCAGAGGUCAGGGGUCAAUUUGUAAGUAGUUAUGUUCUAUUUUUGGUCUUAACUAAUUGAGUUUUUAUGUAUUGUACAUUUUAAUGUGAUAUUUUAAGCAAAGCGUAGCCUUUUCCAUAUUAUCUCAUCUGUUUGUUUCAACGUGGAUUAAAUAGCUGCAAAAUAUCCACUCCAUUAAAAGAAAACAGCACUCAAAAAAUCCAAUUGUUUGUAUAGCAAACAAAUACAACAUUUUCACAUUAAAAAUCUAUCAGAUUGCUGAAUACAGUGAUUUCAGGUCUGGUGGUGUAGAAUGUGAUUCCGCCUGCAGAGAUAAAAGACAGAAAGGGCUUUUUUGUACUCGGUGAGGUGGUUGUAGCAGAAGUCAGGUAGGGUCAGCUCUUCUUCUGCUUGGUACUCUGAGGAAUCACCAUAUCAAUAUCUCUCUGAGCGUGCAUUUUUGAGAAGAAACACUCGAAGUGAUGAGUGCUGAACAGCCUGUAGGCCUCCAGAGACCAAAUCAAACUCUGUGUUUCCUGUAACCUCAGCACCAUGGGAAGUGACCAACCGCGCUCCCGCACACACACACAGAAUAACGACGACCUGCUCUCCUCUGUCCGAUGAUGUGAGCCACUGCUCCGGGUGGUUUUACACAAAGUGUUGAUUUCUUUGUCAAACAUCCCUUCGAUACACACACUCACACACACACACCGGUUUUUCCCUGAAGCGAUCCGCAACCCCCAACUCGUUCAGUCCUAGCCCACUACUGCUAGGCCUCCAAUUAAAUCAAAAGUGGUUUGUUUUUAUUGGUGUUUUGCGCUGACAAGUGGGCUAUCAUCCUGACGACUCUACCUGUCAGUGAGCGACUGAAAAUCCUCAGUUGACAAUGCCCAAUGCUUCCAAUUAGGAGAGAAUCAGACUCCUAACGUGCUAGCGAUCUUUCCACCCUCCCCCAAGGCCCUUCCUUAAACCCCCCCACCCCUCUGGCACCCCCAUCUUUCGGCACUCGCCCAACCAGCUUCUGCCAUUUCGCUCUCUCAUUCUUGCUUCCUUCAUAAUCUUCCCCUUCGCUUUUUUCAAGGUAGGUAUAUCUCCUCUGCAAAUUACUGACACAAAACGGGGUGGCGCACCGGCGGUCCCGAGCCUGAGUGCUGGCGGUCCCGAGCCCCCUGUCAGCUUUAAUGAGCCAAUAAAGGUAUAUUUCUCCAGCGUGAAUGCGCUAAAGUCUUUCUUGUGUGACAGCUGACUGGGAAAUGUGAGUGUUAACCUUAUAAAAGAUUCAGCGGUUCUCAUUAUUUUCUGUCAAAUCUCGCACCUGAUGGCUUUAAGGUGCAUCAUUUGCAUCGCUGACUGGUCCAGGGUGUGCCCAUUUUUUUCCCAACAAUGUUUGUUUGUUGACUUAAGUCAACAUUUCUUUUCUUCUACAUGUCUCUUUUUUUUAUCGCAAGGCAUGUUUUACUCAAUGUUUCGAAAUGACAGCGAUGCCAAAGUUUAUCCAGGAACGUCGUACCACUUUCCUGAACAUAUCCAAAUAUAUAUUUAACAAACAUGGAACAGAAUAAAUAAAUGAAAUUCAAAACAUUGUUUUCACCCGAGUUGAGGUAAGAUCAAACGACUUUGAAGCCUCUUGCCACUCAUCUCUUCUGCCUCUCCCUCAAAUCUUCAAACAAUCGGAGGAUGUACGUUAAAUACAAGUGUUUGAGAGACAGAUUUUUAGAGGGCGUUUCUGUGCAUCUCCAUUUGGUGUGUCAAGCUCCUGAAUUUCUGUCCUCUGCAUUAAUUCUUCAUUCUAUGCACUGUCCAACUUGUGUAACAUUUACUGUGGUUUAAGCAUUCUAGAAUUUUGUAUGGCCAAUGCCAAUCAAGCUUAAUCAGUGUUUUAAGUCAUAAAAAUAUUAAAAUAAUAAAUGAAAGUUGUGAAGUGGUGUUGGUACAACUUUUUGCACAAUUGUGAAGCUUUUAAAAGUUCAAAGUCGUAUCACUGCAUAUAUAUA